Molecule: long non-coding RNA, 769 nt
Organism: Drosophila obscura
Lineage: Eukaryota; Metazoa; Arthropoda; Insecta; Diptera; Drosophilidae
Exons: 3
Source: RefSeq, a predicted model, not a curated record
ACCAAUAUAGCCGUGUUUCACACCACAACAGUUGCGCUUAAACACUUUACAGCACUGGGAAUUUUAGGUGCAGGCUGCAGCGACUUUGAACAAUUUGGCGCCAAAACACAAUCAGAAUCUGAAAAUUGCAUUUCAAAUUAUUUUUCUACCAUUUAAUGAGGGGCCAAAAUAAUGCCAUCGGUGGAAAACCCAUCGUGUGACUCCACUAAGUAGCUUUUAGGCUUAGUGUAAAACUUAAACCGAUGCAAACAAUUCGUUUUUGAAACGAAAGCAGAAAUUCGAGACUAAAUACAGAACACACGUACAAAAUGGCGCAGAUCCUUGGGAGUCCUUUAUCAGGGCAAAAAUGUCAAGCACGGCAAACGAAACGAAUGCCGUCCAAUUAGAUUUUGGGCUGGGCAGGCACGAAAAUUUUCCAAUCCACCCUCAGACUUUCCGUUUUUGCUGCGUGGGAUUUUUGAACAGCUGCUGGAGGGUUGAUGGAUCCACCUACACACACAAAUCCUUGAGGCAGAGAAAUGACAGAGAGAGAGAGAGAGGGAGAGCGAGACAGUACAAGGCAGAAAUUAUGAAAAGUAAUGAACUGUAAAUCGAAUUGCCAUUGUAAAGGAAAGCCACGGGACAGGGAAAUCGUUCCCCAACGAAAUACAUUCAUAAAUAAAUAAAUAAAUAAUAUUUUUGACAAUUUGGCAAUCAGGAUAAAAUAUUACAUGGCAUAUCGGCAUGAAUACGAUUGGACGGGAGUAAAUAAACGACAUGGAAAAUGAAC